GGGCGAGCGUUAUCCGGAUUCAUUGGGCGUAAAGCGAGCGCAGGCGGUUUUUUAAGUCAGAAGUAAAAGGCAUUGGCUCAACCAAUGUAUGCUUUGGAAACUGGAAGACUUGAGUGCAGAAGGGGAGAGUGGAAUUCCAUGUGUAGCGGUGAAAUGCGUAGAUAUAUGGAGGAACACCGGUGGCGAAAGCGGCUCUCUGGUCUGUAACUGACGCUGAGGCUCGAAAGCGUGGGUAGCGAAC
RNAcentral lists this ribosomal RNA (241 nucleotides) under uncultured bacterium. RNAcentral's name for it is "partial 16S ribosomal RNA". It matches the Rfam family "Bacterial small subunit ribosomal RNA", at positions 532 to 773 of the family's 1533-position model. The record is from RNAcentral.